UGGGGAAUAUUGCACAAUGGGCGCAAGCCUGAUGCAGCCAUGCCGCGUGUAUGAAGAAGGCCUUCGGGUUGUAAAGUACUUUCAGUCGGGAGGAAGGUGUCAAGGUUAAUAACCUUGGCAAUUGACGUUACCGACAGAAGAAGCACCGGCUAACUCCGUGCCAGCAGCCGCGGUAAUACGGAGGGUGCAAGCGUUAAUCGGAAUUACUGGGCGUAAAGCGCACGCAGGCGGUUGAUUGAGUCAGAUGUGAAAUCCCCGGGCUUAACCCGGGAAUUGAAUCUGAUACUGGUCAGCUAGAGUCGUGUAGAGGGGGGUAGAAUUCCAUGUGUAGCGGUGAAAUGCGUAGAGAUGUGGAGGAAUACCGGUGGCGAAGGCGGCCCCCUGGACAAAGACUGACGCUCAGGUGCGAAAGCGUGGGGAGCAAACAGG
This 429-nucleotide ribosomal RNA is filed under the name Chloroflexota bacterium. Its description in RNAcentral is "Chloroflexi bacterium partial 16S ribosomal RNA". It matches the Rfam family "Bacterial small subunit ribosomal RNA", at positions 355 to 776 of the family's 1533-position model. Lineage: Bacteria; Bacillati; Chloroflexota. The record is from RNAcentral.